Molecule: ribosomal RNA, 492 nt
Filed under: uncultured bacterium
Lineage: Bacteria
Description: partial 16S ribosomal RNA
Rfam family: Bacterial small subunit ribosomal RNA
Source: RNAcentral
AGUGAACGCUGGCGGUAGGCCUAACACAUGCAAGUCGAACGGCAGCACAGUAAGAGCUUGCUCUUACGGGUGGCGAGUGGCGGACGGGUGAGGAAUACAUCGGAAUCUACUUUUUCGUGGGGGAUAACGUAGGGAAACUUACGCUAAUACCGCAUACGACCUACGGGUGAAAGCAGGGGAUCUUCGCACCUUGCGCGAUUGAAUGAGCCGAUGUCGGAUUAGCUAGUUGGCUGGGUAAAGGCCCACCAAGGCGACGAUCCGUAGCUGGUCUGAGAGGAUGAUCAGCCACACUGGAACUGAGACACGGUCCAGACUCCUACGGGAGGCAGCAGUGGGGAAUAUUGGACAAUGGGCGCAAGCCUGAUCCAGCCAUACCGCGUGGGUGAAGAAGGCCUUCGGGUUGUAAAGCCCUUUUGUUGGGAAAGAAAAGCAGCAGGUUAAUACCCCGCUGUUCUGACGGUACCCAAAGAAUAAGCACCGGCUAACUUCGUG